UCGCGUGAUCAUGGCGCGGAGGAAACACCCGUUCCCAUCCCGAACACGGCAGUUAAGCUCCGCAGCGGCGGACGUACUUGGAGGGCAGCCUCCCGGAAGAUAAGCACGUUGCGCGGA
Molecule: ribosomal RNA, 117 nt
Filed under: Chthonomonas sp.
Lineage: Bacteria; Bacillati; Armatimonadota; Chthonomonadia; Chthonomonadales; Chthonomonadaceae
Also listed under: 1 other name
Source: RNAcentral